UCGUCCUGAAUGCACACCCUUCUUUCUUUGAGCAAGAGGACAAACCUGGGUAGGGAUCUCUGUGAUCUUUUCUGCGUUGCCUGAGGACGUUCAUCUUUCUGAUUUGUUAGCUGAAGAUGAGGAUCUGGAGCAGGAGUUCGGAGUGCCAUUGUUCCACGGGCAGAAGUUCGGCAGAGACUGUUAAGCUUGCCUGGCCCAAGCCACAGAGUCCUGGGAAGGAUGGAAGAGAGAGGAAGGGAGAGCACCGACGUCAUGGACCACCUUUCACAUCAGUGGCAGCAGCAGUAAAAUCCCCAGAAAGCCUGGAGUGGGCGUGAGGGUCUCUUUAGAUCAGCCCUGGAGGCAGCCGCCCAUGUCCCUCCUGGACAUUUGUUCACCUUCACAGAACCCACUUCUUUCCCGUGGUCUGUUCGGAUGUCUGUUUCCUGCACCAGGCAGGUAGCACAGCACACUCAGGGGUUUCUCUGACUCACCUUGGUAGCCCCAGCCCUCAGCACACUGCCUACCACUUAGUAUUUAGAGGACGUAUGCUCUUUGAAAAAAGUAGGUAAAUGGUAAAAUAUUAUUUUUACCAUUGGAACAAACACAAAUAUAUGCUUGAUGACAUUCAAACAGUACAAAUGCAAGAAAAAAAAGGCUUGUUAGGUGCAAAUAUUGGAAGAAAAGAGCUUGGGGUCAGAAGUGACCCCAGACAGAUGUGCUGGGAAAGAAGGGCUUUGCAGGGACCUCAGUGGCACAUAGGACCUAGACCCAGAGAUGGGGCCUUCUUGACAGGACGCCUCUGUCCGAGGGCAUUGGUUUUGCUCAUGUCUCUGUAACAUAUUUUAAAAAGGAUGCAAAGAAACCCCAACUUUUCUGGAAAAAGUGGAAAAAUAAUGAAGAGUGGUUGACCAGAAGGCUUAGGGCACUGGGCUGUGUUGCUGGAGAGUAAGAACCACUUGCCCUGCUACAAACCAAACUGGCUUUGAUCGUCUGCCCUUCUCUGUAGAGGACUGAGGAAGAGGAAAUAAGAAUUACAUGAAGAGCUUCCUAGCGAGCUUCCGGAAGAAAAUCUUAGUCCCCUACCCUGGGGAAUUUCGCCAAACAAGGGCAGAAAGUGGAUAAACAACAGGACGGUAGAGUAUCCCUUAUUCAUGGUGCUCGGGACCAGAAGAGUUUUGGAUUAUGGAUUUUUUGGAACAUUUCAGAUUUUCACAGCUUCAGGUACAGGGACGGGUUGAUGACAACCCCGCUCUGUCCCGUGAUUUGUGACAGACAUCUGUUUUCUUCCUUAUUCCAAUUGUAUCAUCUUGGAUUUUGGAAUAUUUGGAUUAUACUUAUCAGUUGAGCAUCACAAAUUCGAAAAUCCAAAAUCUGAAAUGCUCCAAAUAAGGAUUUCCUUUCAGCAUCAUGCUGGUGUUCAACAAGUUUGAAAUUUUGGAGCAUUUCAGAUGUCAGAUUUUCAGACUUGGGGUGCUCAACCUGUACAGGUUAUUCAGGCUCCUGAAUUCUGUGAUUGCUUUUUUUUUCUAGAGCAAAGUUCCAUAAAGAGCAGAUGGAGAAGUGUUGAUUAGCGAUCAAUUUCUUAGUUGAUAUUUAUCAGACACUUAACUCUGUGUCAGGUAUUGUUCUAAGGGCUUGUAAAAGCAUCAACUCAAUUUAUCCAGGCCUCAUACUGCCUACUCCAGCACGCACUGUUAUAUUAUUAGCUCAUUUUAUAGAUGAGGAGCCUGAGGAAUAGCAGUGUUGAAUCACUUGCCUGACAUUGUGUUUCUUGGGUACAAUUGUAGGUAUUAGACAGGGUUCUGAAACAGGGCAAGGAUGCAGUUGAAAUAAAGAAAGAAACAGAUGCCCGUCACAAGUCACUGGAUAGAGCUGAGCUUCUGUCAACACAACUUAAGUGUGUGCAUCUGGUACCUGUCAAGUUAGAGAAAUUGGUUGUUGUGCAACACGACCCCAUAAUCAAAAUAUUGUAUCAGAGUCCCUACUGGUAGCAGAUAUACAAACUUCUCUUGUCUCUUGUUCAAGAUGAAUUGUCUCCUAGCUUAUUCGAUUCAGUUUAGAGAUCAUGUGGUUCCAUGGACAGUCUCUGUUGGUGUUUCUUCUGGGGAAGUGCCUGCCUUGGUCCUGGACUUGAUACCACUAAAGCUGAUAAUGAGAACUGAGUAGGGUUCUAUUAGGUGAGAGCAAGGGUUCAGAUGGGAGCAUGCUAGGAAGCCCCCAUCUCUUCCAACACUUGCCUCAUCCAGCCUCAGCUGGAGUUGCAGAUGCACCUGCUGAUGCCACUCAAGCACCACCAGGUGUGGCCUGCAAGGCCCUGUCAGGGUUGGCUCUCGUUCCUGUCUUGCCAUCAUCGUCACACAGCCAUGCCCUGUGUUCAUCUGGCAGUGGCAGGCUGGCUGCAUUUCCAGGCUCAGCUAUGUCUCCUUUUGCCUCAUAGCCUCUGCGUGCAUGUGCUCCUGCCUGGAAUUUUCUUGCCCUGGUUAUUCCUGUGGCUGGCUCCCUGCCAUCCUCCGCUCUAUUCAGGUGUCACCUUCCUAGAGGUGCCUUUCCUUACAGCCCCUGAGUGAUGGCCUUUCCUCCCCAAGUCACACUCUACAUUUGCUUUAUUUUCUUCUUACCUUUUAUUGCAAUUUGAAAUUGUCAAGUUCACUGAUUUACUUGUUUAUGGUUUGUCACCUUUCACUAAAAUGUAGGCUCCAUGAAGGCAGAGCCUUACCUCUCCUAUUUACUGGUCUAUCUUCAAGCCCAGGAAUGGUAUUUUAUCAAUAAAUAUUUAAUGAAUUGA
Molecule: long non-coding RNA, 2767 nt
Organism: Macaca mulatta (Rhesus monkey)
Lineage: Eukaryota; Metazoa; Chordata; Mammalia; Primates; Cercopithecidae
Source: RefSeq, a predicted model, not a curated record